UGCUGGAGGUAUCAGAAGUGCGAAUGCUGACAUAAGUAACGAUAAAGCGGGUGAAAAGCCCGCUCGCCGGAAGACCAAGGGUUCCUGUCCAACGUUAAUCGGGGCAGGGUGAGUCGACCCCUAAGGCGAGGCCGAAAGGCGUAGUCGAUGGGAAACAGGUUAAUAUUCCUGUACUUGGUGUUACUGCGAAGGGGGGACGGAGAAGGCUAUGUUAGCCGGGCGACGGUUGUCCCGGUUUAAGCAUGUAGGCUGAUUGUCCAGGCAAAUCCGGAUAAUCAAGGCUGAGGUGUGAUGACGAGGCACUACGGUGCUGAAGUAACAAAUGCCCUGCUUCCAGGAAAAGCCUCUAAGCAUCAGGUAACAUCAAAUCGUACCCCAAACCGACACAGGUGGUCAGGUAGAGAAUACCAAGGCGCUUGAGAGAACUCGGGUGAAGGAACUAGGCAAAAUGGUGCCGUAACUUCGGGAGAAGGCACGCUGGUGUGUAGGUGAAGUCCCUGCGGAUGGAGCUGAGACCAGUCGAAGAUACCAGCUGGCUGCAACUGUUUAUUAAAAACACAGCACUGUGCAAACACGAAAGUGGACGUAUACGGUGUGACGCCUGCCCGGUGCCGGAAGGUUAAUUGAUGGGGUUAUCCGUAAGGAGAAGCUCUUGAUCGAAGCCCCGGUAAACGGCGGCCGUAACUAUAACGGUCCUAAGGUAGCGAAAUUCCUUGUCGGGUAAGUUCCGACCUGCACGAAUGGCGUAAUGAUGGCCAGGCUGUCUCCACCCGAGACUCAGUGAAAUUGAACUCGCUGUGAAGAUGCAGUGUACCCGCGGCAAGACGGAAAGACCCCGUGAACCUUUACUAUAGCUUGACACUGAACAUUGAGCCUUGAUGUGUAGGAUAGGUGGGAGGCUUUGAAGCGUGGACGCCAGUCUGCGUGGAGCCAACCUUGAAAUACCACCCUUUAAUGUUUGAUGUUCUAACGUUGGCCCCUGACCGGGGUUGCGGACAGUGUCUGGUGGGUAGUUUGACUGGGGCGGUCUCCUCCCAAAGCGUAACGGAGGAGCACGAAGGUUAGCUAAUCCUGGUCGGACAUCAGGAGGUUAGUGCAAUGGCAUAAGCUAGCUUGACUGCGAGCGUGACGGCGCGAGCAGGUGCGAAAGCAGGUCAUAGUGAUCCGGUGGUUCUGAAUGGAAGGGCCAUCGCUCAACGGAUAAAAGGUACUCCGGGGAUAACAGGCUGAUACCGCCCAAGAGUUCAUAUCGACGGCGGUGUUUGGCACCUCGAUGUCGGCUCAUCACAUCCUGGGGCUGAAGUAGGUCCCAAGGGUAUGGCUGUUCGCCAUUUAAAGUGGUACGCGAGCUGGGUUUAGAACGUCGUGAGACAGUUCGGUCCCUAUCUGCCGUGGGCGCUGGAGAAUUGAGGGGGGCUGCUCCUAGUACGAGAGGACCGGAGUGGACGCAUCACUGGUGUUCGGGUUGUCAUGCCAAUGGCACUGCCCGGUAGCUAAAUGCGGAAGAGAUAAGUGCUGAAAGCAUCUAAGCACGAAACUUGCCCCGAGAUGAGUUCUCCCUGAGACUUUAAGUCUCCUGAAGGAACGUU
This 1589-nucleotide ribosomal RNA is filed under the name Klebsiella pneumoniae. Its description in RNAcentral is "bacterial LSU rRNA". It matches the Rfam family "Bacterial large subunit ribosomal RNA", at positions 1271 to 2839 of the family's 2925-position model. Lineage: Bacteria; Pseudomonadati; Pseudomonadota; Gammaproteobacteria; Enterobacterales; Enterobacteriaceae. The record is from RNAcentral.